AGUGAACGCUGGCGGUAGGCCUAACACAUGCAAGUCGAACGGCAGCACAGUAAGAGCUUGCUCUUACGGGUGGCGAGUGGCGGACGGGUGAGGAAUACAUCGGAAUCUACUUUUUCGUGGGGGAUAACGUAGGGAAACUUACGCUAAUACCGCAUACGACCUACGGGUGAAAGCAGGGGAUCUUCGGACCUUGCGCGAUUGAAUGAGCCGAUGUCGGAUUAGCUAGUUGGCGGGGUAAAGGCCCACCAAGGCGACGAUCCGUAGCUGGUCUGAGAGGAUGAUCAGCCACACUGGAAAUGAGACACGGUCCAGACUCCUACGGGAGGCAGCAGUGGGGAAUAUUGGACAAUGGGCGCAAUCCUGAUCCAGCCAUACCGCGUGGGUGAAGAAGGCCUUCGAGUUGUAAAGCCCUUUUGUUGGGAAAGAAAAGCAGCAGGUUAAUACCCCGCUGUUCUGACGGUACCCAAAGAAUAAGCACCGGCUAACUUCGUG
This 492-nucleotide ribosomal RNA is filed under the name uncultured bacterium. RNAcentral describes it as "partial 16S ribosomal RNA". It matches the Rfam family "Bacterial small subunit ribosomal RNA", at positions 29 to 507 of the family's 1533-position model. The record is from RNAcentral.